AAGUGUAAGUGCUGAAGGCUGGUUCUAAAGUACUGCUGCUCCUUCUGCAGGCUGAGGUCACAAAUGCACACAGGCACCUCUGUCCUGUGGUUGCUCCAGGGUGGAAUUCCUGCACUGUCACUCUAGGACACGAAACAGAAAGAUGUGGACAUUGGAUUCUCCAAGAAAAGAAUGCAAACCAAUUAAUUAUUUACAUAAAGUCCAUGAGAAAGUUCAUUACAAGAAUGUAAACAUCAGAAGGCUUGGAAGAACUCAAAAGAACAGGGCGACACUGCACAAGGUUUCUUCUGAGGACAGGGUUGAUUUAGAGCAGCACAGCAGUGCAAGAGAAAGGAGAUUUAUCUUCCAAAACAACACUUUGCCUCAGCAUUCUUAAAUUUUCCAGAAGAGCAGAGUGCCACUUGCUCAGACCCACCCUGAACCAAAUGUUUUGGUCUGGAAAAAGUCAUAGCAAAAUUUUAACAGAACAGUCGUGUUAUAAAUAAAAGUGAAUCCUGUUGAUCAA
Molecule: long non-coding RNA, 505 nt
Organism: Passer domesticus (house sparrow)
Lineage: Eukaryota; Metazoa; Chordata; Aves; Passeriformes; Passeridae
Exons: 2
Source: RefSeq, a predicted model, not a curated record